Molecule: ribosomal RNA, 254 nt
Filed under: uncultured bacterium
Lineage: Bacteria
Description: partial 16S ribosomal RNA
Rfam family: Bacterial small subunit ribosomal RNA
Source: RNAcentral
UACGUAGGGGCCUAGCGUUGUCCGGAUUUAUUGGGCGUAAAGAGCUCGUAGGCGGUUCGGCAAGUCGGAUGUGAAAUCUCCACGCUCAACGUGGAGGGGCCAUUCGAAACUGCCGUGACUCGAGUCCGGUAGGGGAGUGUGGAAUUCCCGGUGUAGCGGUGAAAUGCGCAGAUAUCGGGAGGAACACCAGUAGCGAAGGCGGCUCACUGGCCCGGUACUGACGCUGAGGUGCGAAAGCGUGGGGAGCAAACAGG